CACGUAGGGCGCAAGCGUUGUCCGGAAUUAUUGGGCGUAAAGAGCUCGUAGGCGGUUUGUCGCGUCUGCUGUGAAAACUGGAGGCUCAACCUCCAGCCUGCAGUGGGUACGGGCAGACUAGAGUGCGGUAGGGGAGAUUGGAAUUCCUGGUGUAGCGGUGGAAUGCGCAGAUAUCAGGAGGAACACCGAUGGCGAAGGCAGAUCUCUGGGCCGUAACUGACGCUGAGGAGCGAAAGCAUGGGGAGCGAACGGG
This 253-nucleotide ribosomal RNA is filed under the name uncultured bacterium. Its description in RNAcentral is "partial 16S ribosomal RNA". It matches the Rfam family "Bacterial small subunit ribosomal RNA", at positions 524 to 776 of the family's 1533-position model. The record is from RNAcentral.